Molecule: long non-coding RNA, 2005 nt
Organism: Carassius gibelio (silver crucian carp)
Lineage: Eukaryota; Metazoa; Chordata; Actinopteri; Cypriniformes; Cyprinidae
Exons: 2
Source: RefSeq, a predicted model, not a curated record
UUGAUCAUUGGUUCCUAAGGCAUCUUUUACUUUGGCAAUCAUGGAUGGGACACUGGCUUCCUGCUCAGUAAAUCUUACAACCACCAUUCUGCUGUUCAUGUCACACUGUGACUUUUUGGGGGCGGAACCAAAAGUGGCGAAGAUUGGUUCCGCCCGAAGAUGGUUUCCGCCCGGCCCGUAUAUUACAAACACCGGAACUUCCGGGAAACUCCGGGAGGCAAAUUGGGCUGUACGAGGCACAGGUGAGGACAAUAAAUGCGGCGAUCGUGGAUUGGACAACGGAGAGAACAGGAAGGGUAUAAAAAGAGUCUCAGAAAUUCAAACAGGAGUUCGAGUUGAAUCGAUUCAGGCCGAUCCGCCGGGCAGUGUAGAGGUUUGGGCAGAGUCAGCAUUGGUGAAGGCAGAGGAUCUUCACGGGGUGAAGAAGGAGACAAGGACACUAGUAACUGGGCUGAGUAUACAACAUUUAUCGAUGUUUGAUGAGACCAUCUCUAUAUAAACUACUGAUGUGUUGGAGUCACAGUCAUAGGAAGUACUCACCGGAAGUAACGUCAAGGGCGAUCUCCAGCAACGGAAAACCGAUGGUGUGAAGAGGAUUGGACAGCUAGAAGGAGAAGGAGACAAAGGAAGAGUGUUAUUGUUCAUUUGUGAGUACUAUUGGACAGUGCAUUGUACAUCAUUGGGGAGAGUGCAUUAUCCAGCGUAUGUUGUGAGCAUCUGGUAAAUAGGCCAGCGGCCCCAUUACGGAGCAGAGUUUUGGGUGAGCCGGGAAGUACAAGUACAGGAAGCCGCAAGCAGUCGUGACGGCAACGUUAUUCCUCCGGCCCUUCAUCUAUCAACAACGCCCAACGAAACCCCAGGAUAAGUCCUAGUAAACCGUGGUUCUGACCCUAUUUCACGUAGAGAGUGCAGUGGGUGAGUCCUUGUCUUUGCUGUGAGUGUGUACACUUGAAAUCUUGCAGUGGUAUGCUGUGGUUGUGUUGUCAGUAGCCACCCUGGACUGGAUGAGUCGUGGGGGAGACCAGUGACCGUUGAGGCUGGUGAAGCGCCAUUUUCAUCUAUAUGCCAUUUUGCGACCCCUGCAUGGAGACCCAAAUGUAACGUCCUGUCUAGACCCUUUCGGAAUACCCUGGCUCUGUGGAAGCGGUGGUGAAGAAUACACGUAAGCAAGACUGGUGUUUGCCCCGGUCCAGAUCCCUUAAACUGCAAAUAGAAGAGAGGAGAGGGAAGCGUUCGGCUCGGUGCGACAGUGUUUAACUUUCCCCGACGCACAGGAAAUCCCUGUGGAGGCCUGCGCUACGAAGAUUUACUACUCCAGGUCUGACAGUUCAUCUACUUACUGUAUCGCAGUAUUUCACCGUAAGCCCACCGCCCAGGAGAAGUAUUCUAGGUGAAAAAUCCCCGUUGUGAAAUACUUACCUUUGUCCAUUGCUACGAAUCACUAAAGUGAGAAUAGAGCCCCAGUUGCCUGUGAAAUACCUACCUUUGUCCAUUGCUACGAAUCACUAAAGUGAGAAUAGAGCCCCAGUUGCCUGUGAAGUACCUACCUGUGUUGUCCCCCGCAGUUUGAGUGACCUCUCUCUUGCAGUGCCAUUGGAGUUCUGUGUCGCGGGUUGGCGCUUACCUCGGAGUGUGCAGAAGGGGAGGCGCCGCCCGAGCACCCUGUACGAAGAGAUCGGAGGAACAAGUCAUUUAUCAGCCAGUCGUAUGGACCCAAGUAACGGGUAGCCACCCUCACCGGAUCGAUUAUUCAUUGUGUGUUUCACUCUGCCUUCAGGAGAAAAGAAGGGCACCACGAGUCAACAAAAGCCCAAAGAGGAAGACUAAGGGUUUUCGAAAGGGACGAAGGAGCUCCGUCCCCCUCUUCCCUCUGUGGACAUACUAACCCUCGCCGCAUAGUCCUCUCCGGCCCCUUUCUCCUCCUGCUGAACAGAGACGAUAAUUUUAAGAUUUACCUCCCCCUCCCUGAAUUUUAAUUAAUUUAAAUAAAGUUGCUUUAAUAUUA